GUGGGGAAUAUUGCGCAAUGGGGGAAACCCUGACGCAGCGACGCCGUGUGAGGGAAGAAGGCUUUCGGGCCGUAAACCUCUGUCAGAAAGGAAGAACCUCCCAAGUCCGAAUAGGGCUUGGGACUGACGGUACUUUCAAAGGAAGCACCGGCUAACUCCGUGCCAGCAGCCGCGGUAAUACGGAGGGUGCAAGCGUUAAUCGGAAUCACUGGGCGUAAAGCGCGCGUAGGCCGCUUUGUAAGUCGGACGUGAAAGCCCUCGGCUCAACCGGGGAACUGCGUUCGAUACUGCGAGGCUUGAGUCCUGGAGAGGGUGGCGGAAUUCCGGGUGUAGGAGUGAAAUCCGUAGAUAUCCGGAGGAACACCGGUGGCGAAGGCGGCCACCUGGACAGGUACUGACGCUGAGGCGCGAAAGCGUGGGGAGCAAACAGGAUUAGAAACCCGGGUAGUCC
Molecule: ribosomal RNA, 451 nt
Filed under: uncultured bacterium
Lineage: Bacteria
Description: partial 16S ribosomal RNA
Rfam family: Bacterial small subunit ribosomal RNA
Source: RNAcentral